This 43-nucleotide non-coding RNA is filed under the name Schistosoma mansoni. The record is from RNAcentral. Lineage: Eukaryota; Metazoa; Platyhelminthes; Trematoda; Strigeidida; Schistosomatidae.
CUGCUGAAGAGUUCUAUAAUAGGACGAAACGGCCGUCAAGCAG